Molecule: long non-coding RNA, 431 nt
Filed under: Eutrema salsugineum
Lineage: Eukaryota; Viridiplantae; Streptophyta; Magnoliopsida; Brassicales; Brassicaceae
Description: long non-coding RNA (ESAL_LNC001682)
Source: RNAcentral
CACUUUUUAUAAAAAAAAUAUCCGCCGGCACAUUCAACUAAAAGAAAAGACAGCAAAGCAAAUGGAUCAGCACAAUUUUGUCCUAAAAAUAGACAAUAUUUUUUGUUCAAAAAAAAUAAACAAAAAACAUAAACCAGUUUGUAAGAAGGGAAUCUAAGGAAGAAGAAACAAAAUCUAAAAAAAUCUCUCCGGUUUCUUUGGACAAACAGACUUGUCUGAAUCCUAUUUCAAAGGAAAUGGGAUUUUUGUUGAGACAAAGAUUGUGUGGGAGGAGGAAAACAGUCCGAACUUCAAUCUCUUCCUCACAUUUCGACUGCUAAUAAAACAAGCCUCUCCCCAAACCCUUUAUUCUUAGCCUUUCCCUAACAAUGGCUCUAUUAACUUUUCAUCUUUUUAAUUUGUAAAUAACAUUUUUUAAAAAGAAAAAAAAA